AACUAACGCUAGUGGUAUGCCUCAAACAUGCAAGUCGAACGAGAAAGCAUCUUCGGAUGCGAGUACAGUGGCGCACGGGUGAGUAACACGUAACUAACGUACCCUUUCGCUGUGGAUAACUCCGGGAAACCGGAGCUAAUACAGAAUAAUCUUUUAAAAUCUGCGGAUUUUAUUUGCAAAGCUCUCGGGCGCGAAAGGAUCGGGUUGCGGCCUAUUAGUUUGUUGGUGGGGUAAUGGCCUACCAAGGCGACGAUAGGUAGCUGGUCUGAGAGGAUGAUCAGCCACACUGGAACUGAAACACGGUCCAGACACCCACGGGUGGCAGCAGUUGGGAAUCUUGGACAAUGGGAGAAAUCCUGAUCCAGCAAUACCACGUGAGUGAUGAAGGCUCUCGGGUCGUAAAGCUCUUUCAGCGGGGAAGAAGGGAAACUUGACGGUACCCGCAGAAGAAGCACCGGCUAACUCCG
RNAcentral lists this ribosomal RNA (467 nucleotides) under uncultured Pseudomonadota bacterium. RNAcentral's name for it is "bacterial SSU rRNA". It matches the Rfam family "Bacterial small subunit ribosomal RNA", at positions 29 to 505 of the family's 1533-position model. Lineage: Bacteria; Pseudomonadati; Pseudomonadota. The record is from RNAcentral.